AAACUAUGUGAAGUAUUCACACACAGCCGUGGUCGCAAGAAAUGUGCAAAGCGUGUUAGAAAGAGCGAAAGAAGUUGCCGGUUGUACGGUUGCCUUAAUAAGUACGUUACACCGUGCACAGGUGGCGGUGGACACAAGAAAUAAGCC
Molecule: ribosomal RNA, 147 nt
Filed under: Mucochytrium quahogii
Lineage: Eukaryota; Bigyra; Thraustochytrida; Thraustochytriidae
Description: labyrinthulid quahog parasite QPX partial Eukaryotic small subunit ribosomal RNA
Source: RNAcentral